RNAcentral lists this long non-coding RNA (286 nucleotides) under Calidris pugnax (ruff). RNAcentral's name for it is "lncRNA (ENSCPUG00000015352.1)". Lineage: Eukaryota; Metazoa; Chordata; Aves; Charadriiformes; Scolopacidae. The record is from RNAcentral.
UCAGCUGGUUGCAAACAAUGGGCCAUCAAAGGGAGUUUGCUCAAGCUGAUUUUGGAGCAACAGAUAGUUUUGACUUGACAACCCAUUCCUCUGCAGACCUCAGCCAUGGCCUUAGACCCAGGGUGGGUCACCCCUUCAGACCUUCUCAAAGCUGAUGGGAGUGGAUGAGCCACCCUUGGCAUUGUGCCUCGUGCGUGUGACUCAGACGGAUUCUGCUUGUCUGAAGGAUUCCUGCAAGUCCUCAGAGUUGUCCAACCCGCCUGGGCUCAGCGCUGGAGCCCGUGAG